ACGUCUACAUUAGACUACCCCCGUAGUCCCAGCCGUAAACUAUGCUCGCUAGGUGUCAGGCAUGGCGCGACCGUGUCUGGUGCCGCAGGGAAGCCGUGAAGCGAGCCACCUGGGAAGUACGGCCGCAAAGGCUGAAACUUAAAGGAAUUGGCGGGGGAGCACAACAACGGGUGGAGCCUGCGGUUUAAUUGGACUCAACGCCGGACAACUCACCGGGGACGACAGCAAUAUGUAGGCCAGGCUGAAGACCUUGCCUGAAUCGCUG
RNAcentral lists this ribosomal RNA (265 nucleotides) under uncultured archaeon. RNAcentral's name for it is "partial 16S ribosomal RNA". It matches the Rfam family "Archaeal small subunit ribosomal RNA", at positions 716 to 982 of the family's 1478-position model. The record is from RNAcentral.